AAAGAUGUUAUUUACACAACUAACAGAAAGAGUAAAGUUUUUAUAGAAAAAUCAAUUAAGAUUAAAAUAUUAAUGUUGUCUUGUUUGACUUUUUGUGUUUGAAAAUUUGGAAGAAAAGUGCAACUAAAUGUGGACUUUAUUUGGUUUGAUGCAGACCAAAAUGUUUAUAAAGUUUACUUUUCAGUGCAGUUUCAUUACACUUUUAUAUUUAAUCAUCCGACUCAUCUUUAAUAUUCAAUAAAAUGCAUUGAGUCUUCUGUGUUAGGCUGUAAUUAUUAAUCAUCUCACCUUGCACACUAAACAAAAGCUGUGAUAAAUCAUGACUUACACUUUUAUUAAUACUUACAAUAUAUCUAAUCUGUUAAAAACAUUUACUUUUAUUUUCGUAUUUACUUCCUCAUUGGUCAUGUGAUGUCUAAUCUUAGAGUACAUAGCGAGUCUGAACUGAAUGUAUUUACGAAGUACAGAGACAAAAACAAAUUUGUUGCAGUUUAAUUUCUCCAUGAACAGGUAUGAUGGUAGAGGGACAUCUUGGGGGAAACGCCAGCAUCCAGUGUGAAACUGAAGACAAGAAUCAGGAUGGGGUUUACAUGUAUAGGCAUAAACCAGAAGAAAUAAAACAACAGAGAAUCUUCUACUAUUACCAUGAUGGCACUUUUACUUUUAAUGAAGAUGCAAAUGUUGAAAUAAUAAGAAGUGGUACAUUUCCCAACAUCACCAUCACUUUCUUCAACCUGACUGUGACAGACAGCGCCCACUACUGGUGUGAAUUCAAUCAUGAAGAAAGAAUCACGUUUAGCAUGAUCACAUGGUUAUGGGUUAAGGAUCCUGCUGCAUACAAAGCAGACAGAAACACAGAAGAUUGUACAGACAAUUGCCUGCGCUGUAUUUAGCGUCAUAUUUCUAUUGUGCAUCAUCGGUGUGAUUGUGAAGGUGAAGAGACGCCGUAAUUAUGAACCAGAGUCCUCGGGUCUAUGAAGAGAUGAGGAGAAGCAAACG
Misgurnus anguillicaudatus (oriental weatherfish) is the source of this 999-nucleotide non-coding RNA. Lineage: Eukaryota; Metazoa; Chordata; Actinopteri; Cypriniformes; Cobitidae. The record is from RefSeq and is a predicted model, not a curated record.